CGUGGGUAACCUGCCCAAGAGAUCGGGAUAACACCUGGAAACAGAUGCUAAUACCGGAUAAUAACAGAUGAUGCCUAUCAACUGUUUAAAAGAUGGUUCUGCUAUCACUCUUGGAUGGACCUGCGGUGCAUUAGCUAGUUGGUAGGGUAACGGCCUACCAAGGCGAUGAUGCAUAGCCGAGUUGAGAGACUGAUCGGCCACAUUGGGACUGAGACACGGCCCAAACUCCUACGGGAGGCAGCAGAC
RNAcentral lists this ribosomal RNA (246 nucleotides) under uncultured Lactobacillus sp. RNAcentral's name for it is "partial 16S ribosomal RNA". It matches the Rfam family "Bacterial small subunit ribosomal RNA", at positions 116 to 354 of the family's 1533-position model. Lineage: Bacteria; Bacillati; Bacillota; Bacilli; Lactobacillales; Lactobacillaceae. The record is from RNAcentral.